Molecule: long non-coding RNA, 773 nt
Organism: Diachasmimorpha longicaudata
Lineage: Eukaryota; Metazoa; Arthropoda; Insecta; Hymenoptera; Braconidae
Exons: 4
Source: RefSeq, a predicted model, not a curated record
UGCGCUGGAAAUGCAGAUUUUGAAACAACCGAUUGAAUUUACGAUGCAGAUGAACAGUUAGCAAUUGGUACACCUGAACAGUCCACCUACCUCCAUCUCUCCUUCGCCUCUCGUAAUCUGUAAUUACGAACCAUUAAAAUUCAUGUUAAAGUGUUUUCACAGGUUCGGCGAGGGGAAGAAGAUAGAUUUAUAAUUUUAGUACGUAAGUUUUGUUGUGUAACGGGUACGAGUCCGACUCGGUGGCGGAGGGAAUUUUUAUAACUGUCACUGUAGCACUGAAGUAAGUCGUCAUGUGUUAUUCCAGAGGUGAUCACACGUGAGACGGAGAAUUGUUAAAUUCUUGGUAAAGGUCAGGUGAUGCUUCCGAUGGUGGUUGGGUCAUGGCGUAAACAUUUACUCGGGAGAAGUAUGUAUAAUUCAAUUUAGAGAUUCACCAGCGACUUCUCCAUCUCGACGAUCAUUUUACUUCCUGGGAGCGACUGAGAAAAUUCAAUAAAUUUCUCGCAAUAUGUUAUGGAGAAUAUGGAAAGUAGAGAAAGGAACGAAAUUCACGAUGUCGAUAUCGGCGAAACGAAAUUGCCAGUUGAAUGGGUCAGUGGGUCGUCCCCAUGUGGACAUGUGCGUCGCCACUCGUCAAGAGUUCAGACUUGACAGCGACUUUGGUGAGAUCUCUCUUUCCAGGACCGGUCUCUAGAGUGAUUCUGUAAUGGGCGAAUAGGAUCACUGAAUUCAAGGAAUUUCUCGUCGCCAGAUGGGGAAAAAUUAUUUUUGCC